Molecule: ribosomal RNA, 1116 nt
Filed under: Triticum aestivum (bread wheat)
Lineage: Eukaryota; Viridiplantae; Streptophyta; Magnoliopsida; Poales; Poaceae
Description: partial small subunit ribosomal RNA
Source: RNAcentral
AUGUCGAUUCCAGCCAAGGCAAGGGUCUUUCAGUGCAAAUUAAAAAUACGAGAAGCUUUCCAGAAUCUUCUAACCGUGGGGAAGCCUGAAGAAUCUAUGUUUGAUUCAGAAGGAAAUGUAUCUUGUGAUAAUGUUCCUAUUAUAGGCAAGAAAGUUUUUCCUGAGGUAGCUAUAGUGGGACGUGAGCUAAUCCAAAAUGAUGUACAUGAUCUUCCAUCAGACAAUUCAGCAGAAGAACAUGUGAAGGAGAAAGACAAUGUUGAUGACCUUGCAUUACUUUCUGAGGACUCCGAGGAUGAUGACUAUUAUCCAGAAGAUCCUCAUUUGCAUAAAGAUAUCAAAGAGAAGAAAGAUGAGUCAGACUUCAUAUCAUACUUAAAAAGGACAAUGGGAAAGAAAGUGAAGCAUGUUAUCAUGCGCCAGAUGAAUGAAUUCACUCUGCAAACUAUAGGACAGAAGAGGCACUAUGGGCCAACAAUUAAUCAGCAUGCGGUCAGGCACAUCCCUUGGGAAGCUUGUGCAGAGCUGAUCUGCAGAAUUUCAUCAUAUCAGAAGAAAGUUUUUCCUGAGGCUGCUCCCGUGGGACGCAAGCCAAUGCAAAAUGAUGUGCAUGAUCUUCCAUCGGACAAUUCAGAAGACGAUGACUUCGACCCCAAUAUAUCCGAAGAAGAUGUGGCUGAUCAUGUGGUAGAACAUGUGAAAGAGAAAGACAAUGUUGAUGACCUUGGAUUACUCUCUGAGGACUCCGAUGAUGAUGACUAUUAUCCAGAAGAUCCUGAUUCAGAUAAAGAUAUCAAAGAGAAGAAAGAUGAGUCAAACUUCACAAUGGACUUUGAAAGGGACAAUGGGAUCGUCAAAAGAGGAUGGGGUGAAGGUUUAGACUCCGACGACUCAAAUUACAUAACUUCUUCUGACAAUAAUUCAGAAAAUGUGAAUGAGAAAGACAAUGUUGAUGACCUUGGAUUACUUUGUGAGGGCUCCGAGGAUGAUGACUAUUACCCAGAAGAUCCUGAUUCAGAUAAAGAUAUCAAAGAGAAGAAAGAUGAGUCGAACUUCCCAUCGGACUCUAAAAGGGACAAUGGGAAGGAAAGUGAAGUAGGUUCUAUCGUGCACUAG